CCUACGGGUGGCUGCAGUCGAGAAUUAUUCACAAUGGGGGAAACCCUGAUGGUGCGAUGCCGCGUGAGGGAAUGAAGGUCUUCGGAUUGUAAACCCCUGUCAUGUGGGAGCAAAUUAAAAAGAUAGUACCACAAGAGGAAGAGACGGCUAACUCUAUGCCAGCAGCCGCGGUAAUACAGAGGUCUCAAGCGUUGUUCGGAAUCACUGGGCGUAAGGCGUGCGUAGGCUGUUUCGUAAGUCGUGUGUGAAAGGCGCGGGCUCAAGCCGCGGACGGCACAUGAUACUGCGAGACUAGAGUAAGGGAGGGGGAACCGGAAUGCUCGGUGUAGCAGUGAAAUGCGUAGAUAUCGAGAGGAACACUCGUGGCGAAGGCGGGUUCCUGGACAGUAACUGACGCUGAGGCACGAAGGCCAGGGGAGCGAAAGGGAUUAGAUACCCUAGUAGUC
This 446-nucleotide ribosomal RNA is filed under the name uncultured bacterium. Its description in RNAcentral is "partial 16S ribosomal RNA". It matches the Rfam family "Bacterial small subunit ribosomal RNA", at positions 338 to 795 of the family's 1533-position model. The record is from RNAcentral.